Molecule: ribosomal RNA, 253 nt
Filed under: uncultured bacterium
Lineage: Bacteria
Description: partial 16S ribosomal RNA
Rfam family: Bacterial small subunit ribosomal RNA
Source: RNAcentral
UACGGAGGGUGCGAGCGUUGUCCGGAAUUACUGGGCGUAAAGGGCGCGUAGGCGGCCUGCUAAGUCGAACGUGAAAUCCCCGGGCUCAACCCGGGAACUGCGUCCGAUACUGGCAGGCUUGAAUCCGGGAGAGGGAUGUGGAAUUCCUGGUGUAGCGGUGAAAUGCGCAGAUAUCAGGAGGAACACCGGUGGCGAAGGCGGGUCUCUGGGCAACAACUGACGCUGAGGAGCGAAAGCGUGGGGAGCGAACAGG